GUAAGAAGUGCAUGGUGCGAUAAUCCCAGCACACCCACUUCUCACUAAACAAUCGUAAUAGCCGGACGUAAAACUACUAGUUUAAGGUUUUCUUAAAUUGAGAAGCUGUUUAACAACGGGUUACGAUGGAUGGAAAAGGUCAAACUACAGGUAAUUCACCAUCAUGUCCGCCUUCACAUCCAGCUCCACCGCCAUCACCACCUCCUAUUAAACCCUGUGAAUAUUCUAAAAAAUGACAGAAAUCAGAGAGAUGGAAAGGAACUUCAUAUUCAUCUUUUUGUGACCUGAGAAAUAUGAAACAUUCUUUAAGAAAAAUG
Saccostrea cuccullata (small rock oyster) is the source of this 317-nucleotide long non-coding RNA. RefSeq lists it as uncharacterized. NCBI's taxonomy places the organism in Eukaryota, Metazoa, Mollusca, Bivalvia, Ostreida, Ostreidae. The record is from RefSeq and is a predicted model, not a curated record. The transcript is spliced from 3 exons.